UGCUAUGAAACUAGGCUUUUUUAAGUCACAAUAAUUGCUCUCUACAUAAAUCCUCGUCAGUGACUACAAACCCAAGAAAUUAAAACCAUUAAAAUUCUCUAAAAUAAAA
Telopea speciosissima is the source of this 109-nucleotide long non-coding RNA. RefSeq lists it as uncharacterized. NCBI's taxonomy places the organism in Eukaryota, Viridiplantae, Streptophyta, Magnoliopsida, Proteales, Proteaceae. The transcript is spliced from 3 exons. The record is from RefSeq and is a predicted model, not a curated record.